CGUGGGUGACCUGCCUUCGAGUGGGGGAUAACGUCCCGAAAGGGACGCUAAUACCGCAUGACAUCCUGCCUUUGGACAGGCGGAGAUCAAAGCUGGGGAUCGCAAGACCUAGCGCUUGGAGAGGGGCCCGCGCCUGAUUAGCUAGUUGGUGAGGUAACGGCUCACCAAGGCAACGAUCAGUAGCCGGCCUGAGAGGGCGGACGGCCACACUGGGACUGAGACACGGCCCAGACUCCUACGGGAGGCAGCAGUGGGGAAUUGUUCGCAAUGGGCGCAAGCCUGACGACGCAACGCCGCGUGGAGGACGAAGAUCUUCGGGUCGUAAACUCCUGUCGAGCGGGAAGAACGUUUCGUGGGUGAAUAACCCGCGGAAGUGACGGUACCGCUAAAGGAAGCCCCGGCUAACUCCGUGCCAGCAGCCGCGGUAAUACGGGGGGGGCAAGCGUUGUUCGGAAUUACUGGGCGUAAAGGGCUCGUAGGUGGCCAACUAAGUCAGACGUGAAAUCCCCAGGCUCAACUUGGGAACUGCGUCUGAUACUGGAUGGCUUGAAUUCGGGAGAGGGAUGCAGAAUUCCAGGUGUAGCGGUGAAAUGCGUAGAUAUCUGGAGGAAUACCGGUGGC
RNAcentral lists this ribosomal RNA (621 nucleotides) under uncultured bacterium. RNAcentral describes it as "bacterial SSU rRNA". It matches the Rfam family "Bacterial small subunit ribosomal RNA", at positions 116 to 716 of the family's 1533-position model. The record is from RNAcentral.